UACGUAGGCAGCGAGCGUUAUUCGGAAUUAUUGGGCGUAAAGGGCGCGUAGGCGGCCAGGCAAGUGGAAGGUGAAAUCCCUCGGCUUAACCGAGGAACUGCCCUCCAAACUGCUUGGCUUGAGACCGGGAGAGGUGAGUGGAAUUCCCAGUGUAGCGGUGAAAUGCGUAGAUAUUGGGAGGAACACCAGUGGCGAAGGCGGCUCACUGGACCGGUACUGACGCUGAGGCGCGAAAGCGUGGGGAGCAAACAGG
This 253-nucleotide ribosomal RNA is filed under the name uncultured bacterium. RNAcentral describes it as "partial 16S ribosomal RNA". It matches the Rfam family "Bacterial small subunit ribosomal RNA", at positions 524 to 776 of the family's 1533-position model. The record is from RNAcentral.